AUUGAACGCUGGCGGCAGGCCUAACACAUGCAAGUCGAACGGUAACAGGAAGAAGCUUGCUUCUUUGCUGACGAGUGGCGGACGGGUGAGUAAUGUCUGGGGAACUGCCUGAUGGAGGGGGAUAACUACUGGAAACGGUAGCUAAUACCGCAUAACGUCGCAAGACCAAAGAGGGGGACCUUCGGGCCCCUUGCCAUCGGAUGUGCCCAGAUGGGAUUAGCUAGUAGGUGGGGUAACGGCUCACCUAGGCGACGAUCCCUAGCUGGUCUGAGAGGAUGACCAGCCACACUGGAACUGAGACACGGUCCAGACUCCUACGGGAGGCAGCAGUGGGGAAUAUUGCACAAUGGGCGCAAGCCUGAUGCAGCCAUGCCGCGUGUAUGAAGAAGGCCUUCGGGUUGUAAAGUACUUUCAGCGGGGAGGAAGGGAGUAAAGUUAAUACCUUUGCUCAUUGACGUUACCCGCAGAAGAAGCACCGGCUAACUCCGUG
RNAcentral lists this ribosomal RNA (490 nucleotides) under uncultured bacterium. Its description in RNAcentral is "partial 16S ribosomal RNA". It matches the Rfam family "Bacterial small subunit ribosomal RNA", at positions 30 to 507 of the family's 1533-position model. The record is from RNAcentral.